UACGGAGGGAGCUAGCGUUGUUCGGAAUUACUGGGCGUAAAGCGCACGUAGGCGGCUUUGCAAGUUAGAGGUGAAAGCCCGGGGCCCAACUCCGGAAUUGCCUUUAAAACUGCAUCGCUAGAGUUGUGGAGAGGUAAGUGGAAUUCCGAGUGUAGAGGUGAAAUUCGUAGAUAUUCGGAAGAACACCAGUGGCGAAGGCGACUUACUGGACACAUAUUGACGCUGAGGUGCGAAAGCGUGGGGAGCAAACAGG
Molecule: ribosomal RNA, 253 nt
Filed under: uncultured bacterium
Lineage: Bacteria
Description: partial 16S ribosomal RNA
Rfam family: Bacterial small subunit ribosomal RNA
Source: RNAcentral